RNAcentral lists this long non-coding RNA (514 nucleotides) under Ananas comosus (pineapple). RNAcentral's name for it is "long non-coding RNA (ACOM_LNC016724)". Lineage: Eukaryota; Viridiplantae; Streptophyta; Magnoliopsida; Poales; Bromeliaceae. The record is from RNAcentral.
CCUCCGCCGAUGUCAGAGAAGAAGAAGGAGAACUCAGAGCGGGUCCGAGUGAGGGCAGAGAGGAUGGAGGUGAUAAGGUAGUUUCUGUGUUUUGGCACUCCGAUGCGGUGCACGGGAUAGAGAGGCUCGCGUUAGUGAGGAUGGGGUCGGAGGGGGAGGAGGAGGAAGGGGUCAGGGGAAGAUGAAGAAUAAGAAGAAGAUGAGGCGAUAAGGGUCGGAGGAUAGUGCAAUUUUCUUUAAAACAGUAUAAUUUUUUGUCAAAAGAGUGCAAUUUUUAUUUUAAAAGUGUAAUUUUUAUCUCAAAGAGCGCAACGUUCAUAUUAAAUAGUGCAAUUUUCUUAUAAAACCGUACAAUUUUAUUUUAUGCAACAUUCAUCCUCUUUCUCCUUUUUCUCUGAUUUUUAAACUUUUCGGUAGUAGCAACGAUAUAUAAUGAUCUUUUAAAGAGAUUUUUUUUUUUACUUUUUAUUCCUAUUUUUUUCUACCUCUGCAUCUCUGUUCACUCCUUGGAGAU